RNAcentral lists this ribosomal RNA (254 nucleotides) under uncultured bacterium. Its description in RNAcentral is "partial 16S ribosomal RNA". It matches the Rfam family "Bacterial small subunit ribosomal RNA", at positions 524 to 776 of the family's 1533-position model. The record is from RNAcentral.
UACGUAGGGUGCGAGCGUUGUCCGGAAUUAUUGGGCGUAAAGGGCUCGUAGGCGGUCUGUUGCGUCAGGAGUGAAAACUCGGGGCUUAACCCCGAGCCUGCUUCUGAUACGGGCAGACUAGAGGUAUGCAGGGGAGAACGGAAUUCCUGGUGUAGCGGUGAAAUGCGCAGAUAUCAGGAGGAACACCGGUGGCGAAGGCGGUUCUCUGGGCAUGUCCUGACGCUGAGGAGCGAAAGUGUGGGGGAGCGAACAGG